CAGUAAUGUCUCGUGCGAGGACAGAAAGAAUUGGAAAAGGCUAUAUCGACAUGGAAGUUCAAAAGCAAAUGGAGACAAAAUAAUCAUCAAACGAGCAAAAAGAGCAUCGGCGGUCACUAAGCGUGUUCCAUUUGCAGCAGGCAGAAAGGCCACCCUCCGUAGCUCUGCAACAUCUCCAUUUUUUCCAAUCAUUUGCAAGUGCUUCAAAACUGUGGAAAAAGCUGGAGGACUGCGUAGAUGGAGAGAAUAGCAUUUGGAGGAGGCCGCUUUAGCAGAUUAUUGGGUUUAACACCGCGAAUGUAGUGUGGCUUUGUGGAA
Long non-coding RNA from Lathyrus oleraceus (garden pea), 318 nucleotides. RefSeq lists it as uncharacterized. The transcript has 3 exons. The record is from RefSeq and is a predicted model, not a curated record. Lineage: Eukaryota; Viridiplantae; Streptophyta; Magnoliopsida; Fabales; Fabaceae.